GAUGAACGCUGGCGGCGUGCUUAACACAUGCAAGUCGAACGGUGAAGGAGAGCUUGCUCUCCGGAUCAGUGGCGAACGGGUGAGUAACACGUGAGCAAUCUGCCCCUGACUCUGGGAUAAGCGCUGGAAACGGCGUCUAAUACCGGAUACGAGCUGCGAAGGCAUCUUCAGCAGCUGGAAAGAACUUCGGUCAGGGAGUAGCUCGCGGCCUAUCAGCUAGUUGGUGAGGUAAUGGCUCACCAAGGCGUCGAAGGGUAGCCGGCCUGAGAGGGUGACCGGCCACACUGGGACUGAGACACGGCCCAGACUCCUACGGGAGGCAGCAGUGGGGAAUAUUGCACAAUGGGCGCAAGCCUGAUGCAGCAACGCCGCGUGAGGGACGACGGCCUUCGGGUUGUAAACCUCUUUUAGCAGGGACGAAGCGAAAGUGACGGUACCUGCAGAAAAAGCACCGGCUAACUACGUGCCAGCAGCCGCCGCGG
RNAcentral lists this ribosomal RNA (482 nucleotides) under uncultured bacterium. Its description in RNAcentral is "partial 16S ribosomal RNA". It matches the Rfam family "Bacterial small subunit ribosomal RNA", at positions 28 to 523 of the family's 1533-position model. The record is from RNAcentral.